Molecule: long non-coding RNA, 4623 nt
Organism: Chlorocebus sabaeus (green monkey)
Lineage: Eukaryota; Metazoa; Chordata; Mammalia; Primates; Cercopithecidae
Source: RefSeq, a predicted model, not a curated record
GAGCCAAUCCCAAGUUUGGAUUCCGGGAGAAGCAAGAUCUAUUGGAUACAAGUGCUGGCGGCCUCGGCCAAUGGUGGGAGAGGGGCCGGAGCCCGGCGGCUGCGUGGGUUUUAAAUCCACGUGGUGGCUGCGGGGCUGGGCUCGGGGCUUCGGGGUUUAAAGGCUCAGGGUCCGCAGGGGCUGCAGCCCUGCAGUUGUGGCUCCGAAGCGCUUGUUCUUUUCUGGGAAAGGCGAUUCCUCCACCACCUCUUAGGAUCUUGGGCAAGUCACUCAGCUUCGCUGAGCCUGUUUGUAUCCGUAGGGUUUUGUGAGGCUCCAGCCCUUCAGCAGACAUUUCCUGGGCAUCUACUGUGUGCCCGGCAGGGCCUUCUUAGAUCAGGUAUAAGGCAGGAGGGAAGCGUCGGGAGUCCCAGGCCUGCUGCGUCUCUAACCAUGGGCAGGUGGCUCAGCAUUACCUCCCCUUCUUCCCCACUGCUCUUCCCCAUCCUGGCUUUUACUGUAUCUCCUCUAAAAGGGUGUGAGCUCCACGGGGUACCCAUGUGCCUUGAGGAAGGUCUGCCCCAGUUUGUAGUCAAUAUGUACUUUCUGAAUAAUUAUCGCAAAGACUAGUUCUCAGCAGAGAGCUUUACACAUAGGAGGUGUUUGAUAAAUGGCAAUUGUUCAUGCAAUAAAGAACAACAGCAGGCCAGGUGCAGUAGCUCACGCUUGUAGUCUUAGCACCUUAGCACUUUAGGAGUCUGAGGCAGGAUUAUUGCUUAAGCUCAGGAGUUUGAGACCCCUGGGCAACGGUAGUGGGACCUUAUCUCUUAAAAAAAAGAAAAAAAUGAAAGAAAGACAGGAAUAUAUCAGCCAGGUGUCUUGGUGCAUGCCAGUAGUCCCAGUCAAUUGGGAGGCUGAGGCAGGAGGAUGGCUUGAGCCCAGGAGUUUGAGGCUGCAGUGAGCUAUGAUUGUGCCACUGCACUCCAGCCUGGGCAACAGAACGAGACCCUGCCUCCAACAGCAACAACAGCAAAGAAGAACAGAUAGCACUGAUGAAAUGCCUAUUAAGUGUAAAGUGGUGUUCUGGGCAUUUCACAUGUAUUACAUGCAAUUUAAUAUUAACAAAAUUACAAGUCUUACAUAACUUAAUAUUCACAAAAAACAAAUUAGGCACCAUUAUUAUUCUUAUUUUGCAGAUGUGGAAACCAGGGCAAAGAGAGGCAAGGUAACUUUUCUAAGGUCAUGUGGCUAGGAGGUGGUGGGGCUUGAUUCAAAUCCAGGUCUGUCUACUCCCGGAGCCCUUGUUCUUAACCACUGCACUAUCCCAGUACUUGUCUAGUAUUCAGCGUUUCUUUUCCAAGAAUGUUCUAAGUUAGGCCUGUGCUAGUGGGAAGUGGAAGAGAAGGGGAGGAUAGGAAUCAGGUGGGUGAGGCAGAGCCAGGUGAGCUGGGGUCCUGCCCCCUAUGGCAAGGCCCAGCCCUAUGGGGUGGCAUUGGACAGGAAGAGGGGCAGUGAGACAGACAGGCAUUGGGGCCACAUGUCCCGUAAAUAGGCUACCUCCUUGCCAGGCCCUGUGCUGGGCUGGUGGGGCGCCGUGCUGGGCGUGACACACCCUCCCUGCCCUCAGGAGGCUGUCAGUCUAAACCAGCUACCAUUAGUGGUGACCUGAACACAGCCUGCAGGAGGGGUUUUGGUUUUGCCUGCAUGAUAUUUAAACAUUUUUAAAACAUGAAUUGCCUCGGUCCACACCCCUCCCUAGUGUCACACGUCAGCUUUACUCAUGUGUCCCACCGGCUCGUGAAUGCCCUGAGCAGCUUUGUUCCCUUGUCUCCCCAAGCCAGCAGCCCGCAGAGGGGGGGCCCUCUGUGGCUGGCACACAGCAAUUGCCCUGGCGUUCUUUGCUUUGCCUCCUGUCUGUGUUUGAAAUCCCGAAAUCACCACCUUGAGCUCUGAAGCCCUGCGACUCCGAGGCUGCAAACCCCUCCCUGGCCCCAGACGUGCAGCCUGCAGCUUGAAUCUGAGGACUCUGGCGGUGGAGGCCAACUCCGAAACGGUCCCUCAGUAACCAAGGAUCAUGCUAAACAUCAUGGUGUUCUAUUCAAGAUCUGCUACAUCAUUUGUGGAGCCCAGUGCAAACUAAAAAUGCCAGACUCCAUGUUCAAACAAUCAGCAAGAACUUCAGGAUGGUGACAGGAGAGCUCUGAGCCUCUUCUGAGGGCAGAGCCCCACGUGGCUGCACGUUACAUCCCUUGAAGCUGUCCCUGUUCUCACUGGGGGUCCAUGGUCUGGCAGCAUCCUCCAGUACCACAAGACAGGGUCUUUCCACAGCUGAGCAGGGCAAGGACAGUUUCUAGCUGGACCCAGGGGAGGCCACCUGCAGGUGUGGCCUCUAUGUCUGCAGUUCACGGUGGGAAUCUGGCUCACAGGACCCAGCCUGCCACCGUCCAGGGAGCCGCGGAGAUUUGGGGAUUUCUCCUCUGCAAAAUGGGGAAACAGCUCCCUCUUCAUCAGGUUCUGGUGAGGCUGACCUAAGGAGGCUGAGUGCCAAGACCUGAAUUUGCUGCUCCUCACUGACCACUGGCGAGGGCUUUGCAGCCUGUGGCCUUCACCCUCAGCCCCUGGGUGCCCCUUCCCCUUGGAGACACUUGCAAAUCUGACAAGCAUGGGUUCUGUGACUUCAUCUGAGUGACUGAUGAGCACCCAGAAGAGGACAGACCCCACUGCAGAGAAAGCCGGGGCUUCCUCUUAGACAAGCCCCUCCCAGUCGUCGCAUCUUUCACUCAUGUCCUCUCCCAACAAAAGCGUGGAACAGAAAGGUUGCAGCCUCCUGCCUGAAUGAUUAAAAUAUGAAAAAAAUACAUCUCAGAAACAACAAUAACAACCCCAGCCCUUAUGGCGUACUCGCUACAGGGAGGCGCUGUGCUGGGGGCUUUGUAACCGGAGUGGCUCCAUGUCAACUUCUCAGCAACCCUUGGAAGUUGGUGUUAUCACACCAUUUGACAGAACUGUGAGAGGAUCAACGCUGCUUGAAGCCACCAGUUUCUGGGAAUUUGUCACAGCAGCCCAGGAAACACAUGCGCAAGGUUUGGAGAUUGGUCUUUCCAUGUCUAGGGUGCAUGGUGCCCAUUUCAACACUCUCUGCCCUCAGUGGCACAUUUAGGCCACGCUGACUUCGGCAAUGGUGAGGGAAAUGCAAAGGUGAGCCAAAAAUACCUGGUCGCUAUCUCUGGGGGGACGUAAAACAAUAGCAGCUCAUUCUCUCAAAGUCCAGGAGGCCAGAAGUCUGGAAUCACGAUGACAGCGGGGCCAGCCCCUCUAGGGGCUCCAGCGAGAAUCUGUCCAGUGUUUCUCUCCCGGCCUGGUGGCUGCUGGCUCCUUUGGCGAUGUGUGGCAUGUGGAUGCGUCACAGAGAUCGGCAGGCAGAUCUCUGCCUCUGUGCAUGGUCUUCCUCUCCGUGUGUGACUCUCUGCGUCUUCACUUUGGCUUCUCAUAGGGACAUCAGUCACUGGAUUUAGGGUACGCUCAAAUCCAGUAUGACCCAUCCCAACUCAAGACAUUUGAAAAGACCCUGUUUCCAAAUAUGGUCACAUCUGAGGUCCCAGGUGGAUAUGAAAUUUGGGGGACACUACGCAACCCAGCACCAUCCUUUUUUGUGGGAGUCACCCACUUUGGUUUCUGAAAUGGGGACACACGUUACGGUGGAAAUGAGCACUCGGGGCUGCCUGUCUCGGAAAGGUUGUUGAAUCAAUGGCACGUUGAUUGCUUCAACAAUCUAGGAAAUACUACGUAAGCUUUCUUUAAACAAUGCCGGUAUGGCCACAACACCCCCCAGAAUCCUACCAUUCAUUCAUUCACUCACUCAUUUACUCAUUCAUUCAUUCAUUCAGUGUUCAGUCCCUAUGAUUUGGUUAUGACCAAAGCAGACACAAUCACUGACCUCAAGGAGCAUGUGUUCUGGUGUAAGAACUGACGCUGAGGUACCCCUGACUCUUUGCUUAUUCCUCUGACAGCAAAAGUUGUCAGGAAAACAGACAGAAACAAAACAUGCCCACUCUGGACCGAAUUGUAAAUCUUUAUCCCUUUCUCCUCACCUAAAGCCCAACAAAGCAAUUUGAAAUUCCAGACCUGCGACCACUGGAGAAGAUCACCUUUCCCCAAUGAGAAGCAGAUCAACAUUGGCUCAGGCUGAAUCUGGGAGACAGACAAGGUCUCCUUUCAACAUCGUGCCUCCAGGGAAACCAGGCCAAGUAUCGGCCCUCCAGAGGCAGCUGCAACUCUUGGAGACCUCCCCACUGAGUCCAUACCCCUGGCCCAGGGCACUCAGGCUGCUUGACCAGCCCUGCCCCCUGGCCAGCCUCAUUUCUCCUGUUCUCUUGCUCGGUGCCCCUAGCAGCAGUCUUGCACCUGGUCCACUGCCUCCCACGCCAGGGCCUUUGCCUUUGCUCUUCCCCUGCCUGGCAUGGUCUCAUCAUUCAGGGCUCAGCCUGAAUGUCACCUCCUCCUGGAAGCCUUCCCCUGGUCUCAUUAUGUCCUACCCUAUCACCCUGUUUCUUUCCCUUGGGUCACCAGUAAGAACCUGGAUUGAGUGUGUGCAGCUGUCUUUUGUUGUCUUUGCCUCACUAAACUGUAAACCCUUUGACAAUA